GUUGGGAAAUGACGAGAACCCUAUUCCACUGAUGGAAGAUAAUUGUUAUCCACCUCUUGAUUAUACCUUGCACGUCAGUCUGAUCCCAUG
Molecule: small nucleolar RNA, 90 nt
Filed under: Sorghum bicolor (sorghum)
Lineage: Eukaryota; Viridiplantae; Streptophyta; Magnoliopsida; Poales; Poaceae
Description: Small nucleolar RNA Z122
Rfam family: Small nucleolar RNA Z122
About the family: Z122 is a member of the C/D class of snoRNA which contain the C (UGAUGA) and D (CUGA) box motifs.
Source: Rfam by way of RNAcentral